Molecule: long non-coding RNA, 430 nt
Organism: Homo sapiens (human)
Lineage: Eukaryota; Metazoa; Chordata; Mammalia; Primates; Hominidae
Source: Ensembl
CAGCUGUUGAGAUAAAAAAAUUUGUUGUCAUUUAUUCCCAGGCACAGCUGUUUGUCAUUUGCAUUGAAAAAGUCUCCAUUCAAACUGCUGUCACAUAUAAAAUCUAUUUAUGUAAGUCUGUAUUUUUCUGUUGUCUUGGCCUUGGUGGGCAGUAGUGUGUUUUAACUGAGCAAACUGUCUUUCCAAAUAAUGAAGCUGAAGUCAGCCUACCUGCUUGCCAUUUUUCUUCCCCUUCCAUUUUUCUAAUCUCCGGAUAAUUGUAAGAAUGAAUUAAGAUUUGUGUUUAAGGCCGGGCACAGUGUCUUAGGCCUAUAAUCCCAGCACUUUGGGAGGCAGAGACGGACGUAUCGCUUGAGCUCAGGAGUUCCAGACCAGCCUGGGCGACAUACUGAGACUCUGUCUUGUAUAAUUAAAUUAAAAUUUAAAAAAA